Acanthochromis polyacanthus (spiny chromis) is the source of this 4188-nucleotide long non-coding RNA. RefSeq lists it as uncharacterized. The record is from RefSeq and is a predicted model, not a curated record. The transcript has 2 exons. NCBI's taxonomy places the organism in Eukaryota, Metazoa, Chordata, Actinopteri, Pomacentridae.
GCACAAGAAACCACCUGGUGUCUCUUCGUCAGCUGCCAAGGCUCCCAGUGGUGGAGCAUCUUUGUCUGUCUGAGAAUGCCAUCGGCUCCCUGGGGGGACUGGGAGCUCUGGAGAACAGUCCGCUGCGCUUCCUAAACCUGACCCGCAACCCAGUAACCUUCACUCAGGACUACCGUGCACGUGUUUUCAACUGUUUGCCAAAGCUGGAGGUCCUGGAUGGAAUCCCAAAGCUGCCAGAAGACUCCCUGCCUGUCAGAUUCCCACCACAAACCACCAGGAUGUGUAACAUUUUAUGACAAUCAUCCAUGGAUGGAUGUGUACAGAGGCAGCUCUGGCAGUCCUACAGCACUUCAGCAGAAUACUCCACACCCGGAAACUGCAGUGACGGCUGUAGAGAUCUCCUCAGAGGAAAGUCAGCUGGGUAGUGUUUUCCCCUGCUAUUCAGUAACAGUAUUUACACAAACUGUCACAACUGUUGCCACACUGACUAUACUGUUAUAGCACUGCAAUGGUAAUGUUCAAACCACAUUCACGUCAGGCACAAGUAUAUUGCUGAUAUUUCUAAAGUGAUUUAUUUGUAUAUCCUUUACAGGUAUUUUGAUAAAAAAAAAUAGAAAACACCACAAAAUGUUUGAGCAUUUUUUUUUUACAUCUAUUUUAUUGAAGUUUUUUUUACUGAAUAUGGUGCAGUGCAGAGAUACAUACUGAAUGAUGAAGACAAACUUUGGCUUUGAUGGAGGGGAAAGAGAGGCUAAUCAGAUUGCUACGUGACUCAUCUCUGCCAGCUCGACGUCUCUCAGGACUUUGCUGAGCCAACACAUUCACACUCCUCUCUCUGCACCAAACAUACACAGAAUAUUUUAAUUUCUUUUUAGAUCUAACUUGAUGAGCAGAAGCAAGAUCUGAUUGAGCUAACGCGUUUCUUUUUAUACGUGCAGAUUUUAAUCGGUAGCUGUUUGCUUGACACGUGCAGUAUAUGAGAAGAAAAACAGGACAUCCGCUUUCGAGGCUUAUCAAACAUUUAGCGUCCAGACUCCCUUGGAUAAUGGCCUCUUGUGUCCUCAGACUGACUGGGUAAUGACCCAUGAGCUUGAUGCAGUGAAUCACACUCACAUACAGUGCAUGCACACACAAAACAUGUACACAGAAAGUGACCCUUGGUAGCUUGCAAAGCGCUCAAACUGCCAGGAUUGAGUGAAAGUAUGUGUGCUCUUGGUGAGCUUUAGAUUGACAAAUACAGCAAUCGCUCACAUAGAGUCGAAUCGCAGAGUUCACACCGUGGAUAUAUGAAAAAAGAGCUCUCGUACCACAUCCCUGGCUUACACACAUUGCUUCUCCCAUCGUUUAUUUAUUCAUAUGUUGCAGCGGAUACUCCUAUUUGAUAACGGUUUUCAUUUCCAGCCUGCACCUGCAACAUAAACACACUUUGUUAUCUGAUAUGGCAGAACACGACUAUGAAUACCGACACAUGUGCACCCCAGCAGCCGCCUAUGCAUGUAAACAUGUAUCUGGAGGCACAGGAGCGCACAUGCAUUCUCUUUGCUCACAGUAAUGCAGAGAAACACAAUUUAAGCAGCUGGUAUCUCUCUAACAAGCGUACAGCCAGGCACAAACUACCAGUUACAUGCCUCAUUGGGGUUUGUUUAAGUGUGGAAGAUUGUUUGUGCAAUUGUGUGUCACGUGCACCCAACUAAGUCUCCAGCUGAUGAAUGAGGGAUCGUUACUGCGGCAGAGAGGCAUUUUAACGAGCUCACCGGAUCCUUCUGUACUGUAAACAGGAUCCAAGUCAAGUGGAGAAGCUAGUGUCUUUAAACGAUGGUUUCACGGCGUUGUCAAUUAUCUUCGCCGCCCAUUUUCAGGUCACGAUUCCUUCUGAUGUGGCAGUAAAGUAGAAGAGGAGUUCGAGGUGAUUUUCGUGGGUGGAAAAAAAACCAUCAUUUCAUAGCUUAGAGCUUCAGCUUUCAAGUAAAUCUUGCAGCGGUGUUAAAUGGAAGGUUUGAUAAUGGGUGGCAAUCGUGUGGGCAUUCGUCUCAAGAUAGAUUUGGCUCCAGGCAGUCGACAUUAAAGAUCAUUCAUGGCUGGUAAUUCACCCAUGAAAUGACACAGGGAGCGCAGGAACGUGAGGAAUGUGGAGGAGUUAACAUCUCUGCCGGUCCUUGUCACUGUAAAAAAAUAUAUGUGUGUACGUCUCCCCGUGGCCCGCUAUUAGCACGGUAAUGAGACACCUGUUACUGUCGUACUCCUACAGCAUCCCACAAGCCCUCUGGGGAGAUCAACAAUCUCACAACAGCGGAGGGAUGAUGACAGGGUGAGGGAGGAGGGCAUCGCGAGAGGAGGAGAGAGUGUAGAGGUAGAGUCGGAAUAGAGGCUGAGAGGAGGAGGGAUGAUCUGAUUGAGUCUGUGUGCCGGGGACAAAUGUUGUUCAUUAGAGGUAAUUGCCCUUCUCAGUCAACCCCCUCUCGUUUGAUUUUCAUUUCGUCCUGAUUUGUCGGUUCAUUUCCCAUGUGAGCGAGUUCACACACACAAUCUUCUCACCUCUUCGUUCGCAACCAGAAGGAGCAGAUAAGGAAGAGUUGAAGGGGUUUAGACUCAGGAACAUUUGCGGCUCGCAGUGCAGAUGUGAACUACUGAGCACCCAUGAUAUUUUAACUGAACAAUGAAUAUUUAUGAUUUUUCUCCCCUCUGCCUGCUGCAUAUUUAUAACCGUCUUGUCUCUGUUUGAAAGUACACUUGUCAGCUUAAGUUAUGAGCUCGCUGUGAGUCAAGAACACGUCCAUCUAGCCGUUUUAUUAGUUCCGUCAGGGCAACAACAACAGUACCAGUAAGCUAAUAAAUUCCUCUAGAUCUCGUCGGUGCAGAUUACGCAUUCCCAUCAGCAGCUGAUGAGAGCUUCAUUCUUUGAAAAAUAUUUAUAGUAUGAAGCUGAGAGCAAUCAUAGAAAUGAUGAUGAGUCCACUAAAAACACAGUAACACCUACUGUUCUUAGUACUUCUGUGGUAAAAAAAAAAAAAAAAAAGAUGCCAUAAACAUGACUAAGCUCCAUAAACUUCUCAGCACUCAACAGAAACAGAAUGUCAUGGUUCAGAAUUUACACUUGAGAGGUAAAGCAGACAGCGUGAAGGCAAUCUGGCAAGGUGUAACUCAUGUUGUUGAAGGAGCAGGGGUAUAUAUACUAAAGGAGUUAAUCAAGAAAGUGGAUGUAAGUGUGCAGAUGAGUGGGGAAGAUCGGGUGAUUGAAUGGUGGGAAGACAGAGCAGGUGGGAGUGGCUGGGUCUGAAAUGACAGGAGAGUUAGUGAAUGGAAAAAACAAGGUGAAGCAUGGCAUCUAAUUUCUACUUUUUAAUGCUGUCAGAGCAAGUGUUAGUAGGACCGCAGCAACUCAGUUCUUUUCUAAAGUCUAUAAAAGGGAGAAAGGAAGGGGAAAAUGUAGGAAUGUAAUUCAAAUCUGAGCUAAUCAGGGCAUUUUUUUAGAACUGAUGUGUAUCGGCUUUAGUAAGCUUGAUCCUCAGCUCAAUUCUUUGUUCAUGUUCAGUGUUGCACAGGUGUUUUAAUUUGACAGCCCAAUUUUUCUUUUUCUUUGGAUUGGGUGCAAAAAAAACUUGGUGAGAGCAUCCUUGGAAGAGGGAUCUUCCCACAGCUUGUAGAGAAUGUCCUCCAGUCAGAUACAAGGUUGACGACUGGCAGGUGAAGUAAAUAAUCGAUCAUCUCGUUCCAUUCCUGCUGGGAAAUCUUGGGCCUUGGCAUUCAUGUGGAUCUUAACUGGGCACAAACCACCAACCUAAACAUUGUUCCAUAAAAAAAUGUGCACAGAUGUCAUUAGAUAGAUUAUAGUGCCAUCCAGGAUAUUCACGACACAAAAUGUUAAAAUGGGAAUCCCUCGCAAUGCUCAAUUUUUACUCUUUACAUAUACAGCUCCCUCCAUAAUUAUUGGUUAAGAUGUGUUGAAAGCCUUAAAAUAAAUUCUGUUUUUAUUGCAGAAGCAUACUCUCACACUGAAAAUUGAAGAAAAAUGUAUUAUAGGAAAAAAUUAGGUGCUGUUUUGUUGGCAAAAGCAGAUUGUACAAAGUAUUAACAUCAGGGGUGCUAAUAAUUGUGGCACACAUGAUUUGAUGUAAAAGAAUUAUUUUUAAUGUGUGAUUUUUUUUCCCCCCACUGAAUAAAUGCACUUGAAUUAAAGGUUGGAUUUUC